AUGGCUCGUGUUGUUGUUCCGUUGAAUUUUAAUGCGUUCCUUGAGAAAGCAAAGUUGAAAGAUGAUGGUAGCAAUUACACGGACUGGGUCCGUAACCUGAGGAUUAUCCUCAUUGCUGCACAGAAAAGUUACGUCCUGGAAGCACCGCUGGGUGCCAGGCCUGCUGCUGAUGCAACUGACGACGUUAAGAACGUCUGGCAGAGCAAAGCUGAUGACUACUCUAUAGUUCAGUGUGCCAUGCUUUACGGCUUAGAACCGGGUCUUCAACGAUGUUUUGAACGUCAUGGAGCAUAUGAGAUGUUCCAGGAGUUGAAGUUAAUAUUUCAAGCAAAUGCCCGGAUUGAGAGAUAUGAAGUCUCCAAUAAUUUCUACAGCUACAAGAUGGAGGAGAAUAGUUCUGUUAGUGAGCAUAUACUCAAAAUGUCUGGGUAUAAUAAUCACUUGAUUCAACUGGGAGUUAAUCUUCUGGAUGAUAGCAUCAUUGACAGAAUUCUCCAAUCACUGCCACCAAGCUACAAGAGCUUUGUGAUGAACUAUAAUAUGCAAGGGAUGAACAAGACUAUUCCCGAGCUCUUCGCAAUGCUAAAAGCUGCGGAGGUAGAAAUCAAGAAGGAGCAUCAAGUGUUGAUGGUCAACAAGACCACUAGUUUCAAGAAAAAGGGCAAAGGGAAGAAGAAGGGGAACUUCAAGAAAAACAGCAAGCAAGUUGCUGCUCAAGAGAAGAAACCCAAGUCUGGACCUAAGCCUGAAACUGAGUGCUUCUACUGCAAGCAGACUAGUCACUGGAAGCGGAACUGCCCCAAGUAUUUGGCGGAUAAGAAGGAUGGCAAAGUGAACAAAGGGACUACAGAAUAA
This 855-nucleotide ribosomal RNA is filed under the name Triticum aestivum (bread wheat). RNAcentral describes it as "partial small subunit ribosomal RNA". Lineage: Eukaryota; Viridiplantae; Streptophyta; Magnoliopsida; Poales; Poaceae. The record is from RNAcentral.